CUAUAGUAGCCGGAAUGCAGGCAAAGUAUGCAUCCAAGAAAGGAACGGCCCCUAACAUAGUUGCAAGGGCCGAUGAUUAUGAAUAAUUACCUGUGACAACUAAUAGGACUAAACAUUGUUGUCAGUUCGAUGGGUUUAUAAGUUUUAUCGCUGGAACUGAGCAAAUAAAAUAAAGUUGUAAAGA
Long non-coding RNA from Acromyrmex echinatior (Panamanian leafcutter ant), 184 nucleotides. The record is from RefSeq and is a predicted model, not a curated record. Lineage: Eukaryota; Metazoa; Arthropoda; Insecta; Hymenoptera; Formicidae.